UGCAUUCACUACUGUAAGUCGCUCUGGAUAAGAGUGUCUGCUACAUGACAAAAA
Non-coding RNA from Salmo salar (Atlantic salmon), 54 nucleotides. Lineage: Eukaryota; Metazoa; Chordata; Actinopteri; Salmoniformes; Salmonidae. The record is from Rfam.